AGAAGUGACAUAUGCAGCAUGACCAGUGGAAGCUUCGAAGAGCUAUUGCCAAUUUCCACCCUCUCUCUGGAAACUGUCAUUAGGGUUAGGGAAACUGUCAUGAGAUCUGCAUAUUUUAGAUAGAGGCUGCUUGCCUUAUUUGGGCACCUAAUGAAAAAGACAUGGAGGCCAGGUGCGGUGGCUCAUGUCUGUAAUCCCAGCACUUUGGGAGGCCAAGGCGAGUGGAUCACCUGAGGUCAGGAGUUCGAGACCAGCCUGACCAACAUGGCAAAACCCCGUCUGUACUAAAAGUGCAAACACAAAGGGAACUGCGUGGCUUGUUUCUACCUGAACAUUGUCAAGUGAUUUCAUCCUUUGAAACACAGUUGUGAAGUGUGUCCAGCAGUCUGAGAACAAGAAGAAGAAGAAAAUCUAAUCCUUCAGGGUGUCUGUGUGCCAGCCCUGCUCUCAGCACUUCCCAUGUGGAACUCCUUUACUUCUCCUAACAACUCCAUGACAUGGGUUAGACUGUGAUUGUUCCCAUAUUGUUGGUAGGGAAACUGAGGCAUGCAGGUGUUACAGAGCUCUCUCAAGUGGCAAGCUUUCUGGGUGGUUACAGAGUGGCAGAGCUGGGGUAUCCCAUGAUGUCACCACACUGCUAUAUGGAAAAGAACAUUAAUCGAGCACCUACGUGCUUGAUUCUCUUAAUUCUGUGACUGAACUCUCAAAACACCCUGGGUAAGCACUAUCAUCUCCUAUUUUCACAAGUGAAAAAACUGGGAUUCAAAAAAAUUAAGUGACUUACCAAAUAUUACAGAGCUAGUAAGCCAAGACUUGAACACUGAGAUGGAAUUCUACCUUUUAAGGUGGCUAAGCAACAGAAGGAUGUUCCUUUCCCAAGGGGGUUGGUUUCCUUUUUACAACUGCCCAAGUCAUGAGUUCAUAGGGCCUGGAUGGCUGUACCGGAUUGCUCUCCAGCUGGUCUCUCUGCAUCCAGAAAUUUCUACAACCUACUGGGAGCACUGCGUGUUUUGAAAUAUACAAAUAGUGGGAAACGAAAUCUUUGUUCUGGAUGCAGUUAUAAUUUGGAAAGCGAGGAAAUAAAUUAUAACAAGGGGAAAAAACAGACACAGAGGGAUUGAAAUGCAUAACAAUAGAGAUGAAACACGAAGAGUGAUAAAUGAAGAUUGAGUGUGCACACCUUCUGGAGGAGCCCUGAUUGAGUAUUUUAAAAUACUACUAAAGUCAUGCCGUGUGACUUCUGAAGCUAGCUCCUAAGAAGUCCUUGCAGCUUCUGCCUGCGACUCUUAGAACACUUGCUUUGAAGGAUGCCAGAUGCUGUCUUAAAAGUCUGAGCACUCUGAAACCAUCAUGCUGUGAGGAAGCCCAAGCUAACCACAUGGGCAAAAAAGAUGCCCUCUGACUGCCACCAUUUGAGACACUCUAAUUAAGAACUGCCUCAUUGAGCCCAUGAGGCCCUGUGAAUGAUAAUAAUAAAUUGUUUUUAACCAC
RNAcentral lists this long non-coding RNA (1491 nucleotides) under Homo sapiens (human). RNAcentral's name for it is "long intergenic non-protein coding RNA 964". Lineage: Eukaryota; Metazoa; Chordata; Mammalia; Primates; Hominidae. The record is from RNAcentral.